This 388-nucleotide long non-coding RNA is filed under the name Mytilus galloprovincialis (Mediterranean mussel). The record is from RNAcentral. Lineage: Eukaryota; Metazoa; Mollusca; Bivalvia; Mytilida; Mytilidae.
GGGCGAUAUACAAAUAUACCAAGAGAAACCAGAUUAUGUACUUGCUGUAAUAUGAAAAGUGUAUAGAUUUAUACAGCUGCAGUUUUUACCAAACUAUUACUAUUCGUGGCCAAAUGGGACAAAACUCAUGUAUUCAUAUCAAACAAAAUCUAGAUCUUUAGAUGGAAAAUUAUGUAAUUACUUGAAAUCUGCCUGGCUGAUUAGAUAACAUCUAAUAAGUUAUUUGUCUAUUGUAAUAUCUUAUAAUAUUGUUUCUCUGUUGUUUAUUAUGUGUCACAAUGUAAAUAUGUGUGUGUUACUAUAGCAUGUAACUACUGCUGUGCAGAUAAAGAAUUCAUUCAUUUGAAAUAAUCAUAGAAUUAAUGAAAAAAACAAGACUUAAAAAAAC